UACGUAGGUGACAAGCGUUGUCCGGAUUUACUGGGCGUAAAGAGCGCGCAGGCGGUCGUUCAAGUCGAGUGUGAAAGCCCCCGGCUCAACUGGGGAGGGUCACUCGAUACUGAUCGACUCGAAGGCAGGAGAGGGAAGUGGAAUUCCCGGUGUAGUGGUGAAAUGCGUAGAUAUUGGGAGGAACACCAGUGGCGAAGGCGGCUCACUGGACCGGUUCUGACGCUGAGGCGCGAAAGCGUGGGGAGCAAACGGG
Molecule: ribosomal RNA, 253 nt
Filed under: uncultured bacterium
Lineage: Bacteria
Description: partial 16S ribosomal RNA
Rfam family: Bacterial small subunit ribosomal RNA
Source: RNAcentral